AAUUGCCUUAGAUAGCGGCGAGUGAAGCGGCAAAAGCUCAAAUUUGAAAUCUGGCUCUUUCAGAGUCCGAGUUGUAAUUUGAAGAAGGUAUCUUUGGGUCUGGCUCUUGUCUAUGUUUCUUGGAACAGAACGUCACAGAGGGUGAGAAUCCCGUGCGAUGAGAUGAUCCAGGCCUAUGUAAAGUUCCUUCGAAGAGUCGAGUUGUUUGGGAAUGCAGCUCUAAGUGGGUGGUAAAUUCCAUCUAAAGCUAAAUAUUGGCGAGAGACCGAUAGCGAACAAGUACAGUGAUGGAAAGAUGAAAAGAACUUUGAAAAGAGAGUGAAAAAGUACGUGAAAUUGUUGAAAGGGAAGGGCUUGAGAUCAGACUUGGUAUUUUGUAUGUUACUUCUUCGGGGGUGGCCUCUACAGUUUAUCGGGCCAGCAUCAGUUUGGGCGGUAGGAGAAUUGCGUUGGAAUGUGGCACGGCUUCGGUUGUGUGUUAUAGCCUUCGUCGAUACUGCCAGCCUAGACUGAGGACUGCGGUUUAUACCUAGGAUGUUGGCAUAAUGAUCUUAAGUCGCCCGUCUUGAAACACGGACCUGCAAUAA
Molecule: ribosomal RNA, 587 nt
Filed under: Candida tropicalis
Lineage: Eukaryota; Fungi; Ascomycota; Pichiomycetes; Serinales; Debaryomycetaceae
Description: partial large subunit ribosomal RNA
Rfam family: Eukaryotic large subunit ribosomal RNA
Source: RNAcentral